GACGAACGCUGGCGGCGUGCUUAACACAUGCAAGUCGAACGGGUCUGCCCUGUUUUUUGCGGGGUGGGUCAGUGGCGAACGGGUGAGUAACACGUGAGUAACCUGCCCCUCACUUCUGGAUAACCGCUUGAAAGGGUGGCUAAUACGGGGUGUUCUGGCUGUGCCGCAUGGUGUGGCUGGGAAAGAUUCACUUUUGUGGUGUUUUGGUGGGGGAUGGGCUCGCGGCCUAUCAGCUUGUUGGUGGGGUGAUGGCCUGCCAAGGCUUUGACGGGUAGCCGGCCUGAGAGGGUGGGCGGUCACACUGGGACUGAGAUACGGCCCAGACUCCUGCGGGAGGCAGCAGUGGGGGGUAGUGCACAAUGGGCGGAAGCCUGAUGCAGCGACGUCGCGUGAGGGAUGGAGGCCUUCGGGUUGUGAACCUCUUUCGCCGGUGAAGAAGGUCCUGCUCUUUGGGGGGGGGUUGACGGUAGCCGGGUUAUGAAGCGCCGGCUAACUACGUG
Molecule: ribosomal RNA, 500 nt
Filed under: uncultured bacterium
Lineage: Bacteria
Description: partial 16S ribosomal RNA
Rfam family: Bacterial small subunit ribosomal RNA
Source: RNAcentral